This 1114-nucleotide long non-coding RNA is filed under the name Vitis vinifera (wine grape). RNAcentral describes it as "long non-coding RNA (VVIN_LNC002159)". The record is from RNAcentral. Lineage: Eukaryota; Viridiplantae; Streptophyta; Magnoliopsida; Vitales; Vitaceae.
CCCUCUCACUUCUUCCCCCAUUUUUUAUUUUUUAUUUUAUUUUUCUUCUUCUCCUACCCAUUUUUCCUCCAAUCUUCCUCCACUAUACCCCACUUCUAGAGAUGCACCGCACGACCCUUUCCUCUUCCCCCCUCUUCUCUCAUCUUCCUCUCGUUUCUCCAUUUUUUUUUCUACUCUUCAUUUUCUUUGCUUUGUUUUAUUUUAUUUUUUGUUUCCCAAAAAAGUCAUCAACUGCUGCCAGCAAGAUCACCAGCCCGUCGCCGUCAACGAGCCCUUGUCAGCCAAUGACCCCCUCCCAUUUUCUCUCAUUCCCUCACUUUCCCAUCCCACUCAUUUUCCAUUAUUAUUAUUAUUAUUAUUAUUAUUAUUAUUAUUAUUGUUAUUAUUAUUAUUUUCCUUUAUUUUAAUAAUAAUUGUUGUUGAAAUUGGACUUGUGUAUUUAUGUUUAUUUCUGGGCCUUAUAUUUGAGCUUUAUUAAUUAGUAUGGAAUUUAUGUUAAUUUGUUGUUGGUAAAUUAAUAUGAAAUUUGGGUUAAUUUAUGGUUGGUGGAUUAAUUUGAAAUUUGUUAAUUUGGGUUUGUGGUUAUAUUGCAUUUGGUGAUUAAUUUGGGAUAUUUGGAUUAUAUCAAUUACAUAUUGUUUAUUUGGACUUGGGCCUAUUGUUAAUUGGUUAUUUGUUUGGGCUUAUUGGAUUGGGCUUGAUAUAUUAUUUUAUUUGACCAUGUAUAUUAUUAAUGUAGGCUUGUUAAUUGGUUAUUUGUUUGGGCUUGAUAUAUUAUUUCCUUUGGCUAUAUAUAUUAUUAACAUGGGCUUAUUAAUUGGUUAUUUGUUUGGGCUUAUUAGAUUGGGCUUGAGAUAUUAUUUCCUUUGGCUAUAUAUAUUAUUAACAUGGGCUUAUUAAUUGGUUAUUUGUUUGGGCUUAUUAGAUUGGGUUUGAGAUAUUAUUUCCUUUGGCUAUCUAUAUUAUUAAUGUAGGCUUGUUAAUUGAUGUGAAUUUUGGGCCCACAAUGUGUGUGAGAUUUGUUGGAUGACUUGAAUAUUUUAUAUGGCUUGAUCGAUUUGAAUUAUUUAAUUUGGACAUGCGAUAAUUAUGGUGUAUAUUAAAUUAGGCUUGG